This 430-nucleotide long non-coding RNA is filed under the name Pan troglodytes (chimpanzee). RNAcentral's name for it is "lincRNA". The record is from RNAcentral. Lineage: Eukaryota; Metazoa; Chordata; Mammalia; Primates; Hominidae.
GAAGCCCUCGGGCCCUUGGGGAGGGACGGGCACUGUUCCCCAGAGCAGUGCAAUCAAUGCUGGGAAACUGAAGCUGCGAGUGUCCGAGGGACCCUGGGAUGUCUCUGGGGUCUGCGUAGGUACCCAUGGAGGAGCAGAGAUGGUGGAUGAAGGAGGCCGUGGAGGAGAAAAGAACACAGGAAUUUACCAGAAAUUGGCAGGCUGUGGAAUUGAUGGAGUCCACUUACUGUCCAGGCCUAAGGGGUCCAAUAAUCCCAUCCUUUGCCGAAAGCUUUACUGUGGGACUGGCGUCAUUUCAAGCAUUUAAUCCUCGUCCCAACUCUACGAGGAAGGGUCUCGCUUUGUCACCCAGGCUGGAGUGCAAUGGUGCAAUCACAGCAUACUGCAGCCUCAACCUCCCAGGCUCAAGCAAUCCUCCCACCUCAGCUUC